AGAAAUAUUGCAGGUGGUGACUCAAGAAGUUGAGGCACUCAUGUGAAGAGCCACUAAGGAGGCAUAAAAACCAUCUUUGAUAUGAAUCAGAGUCUCAUGCUUGCCUUUCUCUACGAUAACUCCAUUUUUCACCACGGCAAUAACAUCUGCGUUCUUGAUUGUAGAUAAUCGGUGGGCGACGACGACCGUAGUCCUGUUCACCAUUACUCGGUCCAGGGCAUCUUGAACCACUCUUUCAGAUUCGGCAUCCAGUGCACUGGUAGCCUCAUCCAGCAGAAGUAUUUUGGGACUUUUGACUAUGGCACGAGCAAUGGCCACCCUUUGUUUCUGUCCGCCGGAUAAUUGGAUUCCUCUCUCCCCUACAACGGUAUCGUACCCCUGCAUGUUGCAUUGCCAUAAGCAACCCAAAUUAACACCAGCAUCUUAGCAAAAUAUUCACUCGGAUAACAACAACCUGAAGAUAGUGCACGAAUGAUUUUCGAUUCUUAUCAAUGAAAACGCCAAUUAAAAGCCAUAUCAUAGCUGCUUGCUUGAGAAAUUCAAGUUACUAGCUACUUGCAAUUGAAUAAGAUUACAUCAAUGGAAACAUUUAACGAUAUCUGUUAUAUAAUGUUCUAACCUGUUGCAAACUACUGAUGAACUUGUGUGCAUUUGCUAGCUCCGACGCAGCUAGAAUUUCCGCUUCCGUUGCAUCGCCUUCCUUUCCAUAUGCAAUGUUGGCGCGGAUUGUUUCAUUGAAGAGAACUGGUUCUUGGCUC
RNAcentral lists this long non-coding RNA (758 nucleotides) under Populus trichocarpa (black cottonwood). RNAcentral describes it as "long non-coding RNA (PTRI_LNC000701)". The record is from RNAcentral. Lineage: Eukaryota; Viridiplantae; Streptophyta; Magnoliopsida; Malpighiales; Salicaceae.